Molecule: long non-coding RNA, 6290 nt
Filed under: Bemisia tabaci
Lineage: Eukaryota; Metazoa; Arthropoda; Insecta; Hemiptera; Aleyrodidae
Description: lncRNA ENSASIAIIG013335
Source: RNAcentral
AUGACGCACAACAACGAGCAGAACACUUGUCGAUUAUGCGGUUCGAGUAGUGGAGUUUUCAUAUCAAUCCUCGACCACACAUAUGAAAAGUAUGUUCAGAAAAUUUCUGGUUUACUAAACAUCAUGAUUUAUAGCAACGAUCCACUCCCAAAAGUUCUCUGUCAUCGCUGUGUCAUAAAAAUUGAUGAUUUUCAAGUUUUUGUGGAUAGCGCUCACUUUACUCAGAAAGUUUUGAGAGAGAAAUUCUUUUCUAGUAAUACGCUGAAUGUAAGUGAUGACGGGAAAAAUCAUCCAUCUCAUCUUGCAAGUAAUGAGAAUGGAUUGAAUAGCAGUGCACUAUCAGAACCACCUACCAUUAAUCCUCCUGCAAUAAUUUCAUUUAAUUUACUAACUUGUUCAAAUUCGAGCGAUGACUCUUUGGAAAGACGUAGGGUUGACAGUGGCUCAAAUUUUGCAGCACAGCAAUUAGACCCUGAACCUUUGAGCCUUGAAUACCGGAAAGAACAGACCCCUACUCCAUCUCUUACAAGACCACCUGGGCCCAGACGGGGAAGUCGACCUUUCCCAAAGAAACCAGGCAAUAUGAAUUCAUCUCAAAAUCAUACUCUUGAAGACAAAAGUCAAAUUAGUAAACCUGAUGCAGAACGAGUCCCAAAUGUAACAAAUAGUACCUUACCUGAAGCUGCAGAGAAAGGCCACGAAAGUGAAGGAAGCUCUACCACUGAUGAAAAGAAAUUAUCAGCCAACUCAUCUCCCCCAACCAAAAAAAAGAAGAAGUAUCUAAGCCCAUUCGAAGUUCCCUCUCGAAGAAAACGGAACCGCAGAAAGCCGAUAGAUGCGAUUCAAAGAAAGAAGAAAGUCAAUAAAAUCGAGUCCAGCAGUGAUGAAGAUACCUCUAAGCCAGCAAAAAAAUUAACCUCAAUUCCAGAGGAAGACUUAGAGAAAUACUUCAUUCUUACCAAAAUUCCCAGCCAGGGAAUGAUAUACACUUGCAAAAAAUGUGAAGCCAUUUUCAUGACAGCCAAGGCGUCAAGUGGCCAUACGAAAUGUCUCAGUGCAGAGCAAGUUAGUGAGGAUGAGCAAGGUGGAAAUUCAUCCUCCUCAGAAUCAAGUAGCGGCGAGCCUUCUGAUGCCAGCAAGAGCGAUGAACCAGAAAAAGAAUCUAUCUACCAGUGUUCCUAUUGUGACAAACCGUUCUCACGGAAUGUCGUUUGUUUGCAGCAUGAGCAGACGCAUUUACGUAAUAUGACUGUGACUGAUGAUGAGGAAGAUAUUUACUUAGAACCAAAAUCAAAAUCUAAAAAGAAAGUUGUCAACAAGUUUCUUGUUGAGAAGUUUCUCCUCCGUUGAUUUCGAUUGAUUUAAAUUUUUGAUAAAUUUCCUUGUGCUUUGAUCAAAGUCAUAUGUACGCGCUGGAGUGAAUUCAGUGGCCACAAACUUACUCAGUUGCAAUUUAUUGCAAAUACUUUUUAAAGUAUGCGUCUCAAGCUUUCUUCCAGAAUGGCAUUUUUGAGUUAUCUGCUUGGCUUUCCCUUUUCCACUACCUAAGUAUUGAAAUUUUACGGCACCAAGUAGAAGUUGUAUCUAUUUGAAAAAGUAUGCAUCCUAUAAAGCAACACAUUUUGGAGGUACUGUAUUCUUCAAAUUAGAUUACGUCUGCUUAUAACGUUCAAUAUGUGCUUUAGUGCCGCUCCUCCCUCCCCUGUGCAGUUUCAGGGAAAAAAUUUUUGCACUAAAAUUUAUGAAGCUAACUUUUUAAUGCUGUAUGAGAGAUCUUGAAUACCCUGCUCCAUUUUCUCCUGCAAAGUCCACCUUCCUGCUGCCCUACCACUUUGGUGGAGUGAAGAGCUUUUUUAGAACUCGCUUUAGAUAAAUUGUCAGUUACUUACCUUCCAUAUUCAAGUGACUGCGCUGCCGUCAUCCAGUAGUGAUUGAGGAUUGACCAAGUGUGACAACGGUGGUACCGAAAACCAAUUUUCUCCUCAGAGGAGGUAUUGCCAAGUUGAUCUACUGUGUGCGACAGUCAGAAGUAAACAACUGCCAACUUAUUAUCUGACGCGAGUUCUAACCAUCUUUUAAUUUUCAAGAAGUAUUAGCUUCCAGUAUGAAAAAAUACUCGUGUAAAUCUAUUGAAACCCUCUGAAAUUUGAAAUUUCUGUUUUUUUUUUUUAAAAAUAGACAUCACUUGCUGCAAUAUUGCCAACUUUUUUCACCUCAUCACAUGGAAAUUUGAUUAAAAAAUAAUAAUAAUAAUAAAAAAAAAACUUUGCCAUGCUUCCAUAUUAAAACAAGUAUAUGAGAAGAGACAAAUUUUUACUAGUUCCAUUCUAUCUCUGGAAGAUGUUGAAUUCUAGGGCUUGGGCAAUUGCUUUAAAAGAAAGGAAGUUAGCAAUCUUAUGUUGGUUUCUUUUUUUGGAAGACGCACAUACCUACUUACUUCAGUAAUUGAGACUAAGCUAAGCUUGUUUGGUCAGAAAUUGACUACUGAAGCAGAAGAAAAUUGGAACUUAAAAAAAGUAACGAAUAUAAAAGAUUUUUGGAGUCCCGUUUUUUUAUUUUCAUAUUCUUUUGAGUUCAUGUUCAUAGGAUGGUCCUGGUGUUUUUCAUGUGAAGGAGAAUUGUUUUUGAUCUCUGAAAAUGUCAAAAUGAAACUUUGCUGUAUCAGUUUUCUAAUGUCCUAUUGUAACUAUGCAGAUAUCUGUGUGGGUUUGUAUGUUACAGCAGUCUGCUAAAAAUUUCUAGCAAGCUUUUGAAGUUUUUCCAUGGGUUCAAGGUAAUCUAUGCGCACGCUGUGAGUUUUGCUUUAUGUUUUUUUAACCUGCUAAUAUUAUGGUUGCUUCGUAACCGCAGGAACCUUAAAACAGGGACUUGUAGGGAUCCAGCAUUAAAUAAAUAAAUUCAAUUGUAUUGAACAGAAUUCUGUCACCAAAAUGUUCAUCUCAAAUUUUUUGUUUGGAUGUGGUAAAAGAAAGUAUCACUUAAAAGUAUCUUUGUAAAAUUACAGAAUGGACUUAAAUUUGUCUGUCCUUUUUUGUUAGCAACCCUGAUUAGUAAGAAAUUCAUAUUUGUGACACUUCAAAAAAAUGAACCAUAACUUCUCUAGAGAAUACUUAGUAAGUAAACUCAAGUGUCUCAAAAUAAUCUUUCUUUAGAUAAAUGUGUGGUGUCAGUCAAAAUUUUUUAAAUGACCGAAAGGCCUACUGUUUUGCAAGAUUGAACUUGAUAUGAUUGAAGUUGUAAACUUUCAUUUUUUCUUCGAGCAGUUGUACUCUGAUUUCAAGUCUAAAAUCGUUCCCUUAUUUUCAAUCUUUUAAAGUCACCAUAAUUCGUUGUGGAAGUGUAAAAUUGAUUAGAUAGUGUUCUCAGCGACAGAAAUUGUCCUAAAAAAUAAAGUGAUUUUCCCCUUCACAUCAUCGUCAUUUGAGUUUUCUGGUAUCGCACUUGUUCGUAGAAAUUAAGGAGCAGUUCCGAUCUACACAUCCACUUUUUUCAUACUAUUGAUACGGAAAAUUAUUUGGGAUAAAUUUAAAACAUAUUUUACUCUGUUCUUCAUUUUUUUACAAGAGCAUCAUUUUGUUGAAUAAUUUGUUUCGAAACAUUCCCUACUCGAAAAAAAAAAAUAAAUAUCCAGGAGACAAAAACAACUAAUUUCGGCGGCAAAUUUUUAGAGAAUGGGAACCAUCCUUGGCGCAUGUAAUUUAGUUCUCAAAGAGAGCCCAGUAGCAAAAAAUAUAAAAUCUUUUUAAUACUUUACCUAAUGGUGCAAUAUGAAGUUUUUAAAUCCUAGAACUCUCUAAGGAAGUAUUUUAUUCUGUUCAAGUGGGAAAACUAGUACCUCAUCAUUUUUUAAUUAAAGAUUGUUUGCCUAAAAUUUCAGUCAUUAGUCUCAAAAAUAAAAGAAGUAGUUGAUGGAGACUACCAAAAUAUUAUUAAAGAUUGUUAAGAUUUCUCAGUUUUAAAUCAUCGAAAGGUUAUUACCUGGUUUUAAGUGCUGAAAAAAAACCUCACUUUUGUGUUUAAUUCUUAAUUGAUCCUUUAAGGUAUUAUUUUAACGAAAUCUUGUUUCAUAUUUCAAGGAUAUGAUUAUUAUAACGUUUUCUGUGAGGAUUAUUCGUUGUUCCUCCUAGAAUGUUAUUUUAAAUGUAUUAGGAAACUUUAAUUUGUUGUGUUUUUGUAUCAGACCCGUAUGUUUUUAAAAAAAAUUGUUGUUAUCAGUUUUUUCAUUUUGAAUUCAUCAAGAAAUCAUUUGUCUUUACCUACCAAUUGUAUUCUAUGUACCUAUGUUAUUUUUUUUCUGUUAAAACUUUCGGACUGCAUAUUUGUGACUGAGCAGCUUUAAAAAAAGUGUAUAUUCAUAUACUACUGGUUACUGAUGUACCUUUUAUGUUUAAUUUUCCAAUGUCAUAAUAAUGGAUGACUGAUUCUUUCGUAAGUUCUAAUGUGAAUCUUUUUGCUUCACUCAGCCCUUCAUACAUUCAUUUAAUUAUUAGUUUUCUGCCACAAUAGCGUUUUUUGCAUAUAUCGUAAGAGAGACGACAUUUCUGUGAAGAUAUUUUUUCCUUAACCCCAUAAGUUGAAAAAAAAAAAAUAUUUCAUCAAGGAUAAACUGCACUGGCAUCAAGAUAAGAAAAAGAGAAAUUUUUGAGGUCAAGCAAAGGCACUCCUUCAGUAUUUGAGGCAGUGUGUGCAGCAAGACUGUGAAAAGAAAAAUAGCAUUAAAUAGUGAGUAUUGUGCAACAUCCCCAGCUUCAGGAAAUGCAAACGACUCUCAAUUUUCUAAAAUAGGUAUACAGAGAAAAGUCAGGCCUUCCUAUCCCUUGUCUGUACUUUGAUUAUUUUGAAUUAAAAUUAAACAAUUUUAUCAACUUCUGCAGGGUGGUCCAUAAGUCAUGCAUUACCACCGCACCAGGCAUUACCCAUGUAACUUUUGAACGAUUAAGAUAGAGACUUGACAUUUUGUAAACGCUCCUAUAUGAAAGGAAGCUACUUUUGUGACGAUCCAAACUUUAAACGGUAUAACUCUGAAAAGGGGAAGAAACACCAGGGAUUAUGGGGGUGGUGCUGGACUUUAGGGUAACUCUCCCAGGUUAUUAGGUGGCAUUUUUUGAAGUGAUUCUGGCAUUACAAAAAAUUCAUUUUCUGUCUGAGGAGAGUGAUGCAUAUAUUGCUUCCCCUUAAUAUUAUUGAGGUUUCCAUGGAAGUAUUAAUUAGUUACGUUGGAGCUUCAAUCAUAUAUCUAUGUUCAACCUGAAAUGUGAAUUAUUGCUUUCUAAGCCAAGCAACAAUCAAGUCAAAAUGAAGAUGAAGUUAACAUUUUUUCCUAAAUUCAGACAUUACCACAAGGAAAAAUGUAAAAUUUUUUGUCCGAGACGGAUUUGUAAUUUUUUUGACGGAGAGAAAGUUGCUUGAGCGGAUCAAGUUUUUUUGAAAGACCUGAUUAAAUUGAUUUUUUUUUUUUUGAGGAAACAGGCUAAAAGAAAAAUGUAAAAAAUAAACCGAUCCAAAAUGGAUGAAUGAUAAAGUACGAUAACUUCUUAAAAGUAGGCUUAGCAGUAAUUCAAAGUAACCAACAAGAAUUUUUGAUAAUAAUUACUUGUUCCUUGUAAAAAUUCAUCAGUGCCCCAAGAAUUCGAUUUUUUUCAUAGUAUAUUUUUUUUUCACUUUUAAAAUCAAUCUACUUCCUAAGUAAUUUUUGACUUUCGCCUGGGAGUGAUCUGUCAGGAUUUUUCUAUCAUUCCUGUUGGUGAUUGCUUUCACUAUCAAGGAAGUUCACUGUCAUGAAAAUUUUCAUAAUCCUGGGAAUGCUAGGUAUUAUGAUUAACCACGAGGAGUAACUGAUACAAAUAAUAUCUACAUUAUUGAUUUCCUCUCAUCACCAUUUCUAUAAAUCGUACACUUUUGUUUUGCUCUGUUAAAUUUUGAUUUCAAUCUGUUUUUUUUUUAUUAGCAUAAUUAAAUGAAGCAGAUCUACUACAAAUCCAUUCAGUUUCUUCUUUUCCAGCUCUCAGUUCCUACCACUUAAAUUCCUUACUUUUUCUAUUAAUGAAUAGAUAAUGAGACUACCAGACCACGUAUCUCAUUUGCGGCGUUUAAAAAGCUCUGCUCCCAUUUUAUUUUUUUGAGAGAGAACCAAUCAAUUUCAUUUUUUGAAGUUUUCGCGGAGUUUUCUUCGCAAGAAGAAAAAUUAUGGUAGUUUUCAAAAAUUGACGAUAAGUGGCUUUUCCCUGUAAAAAGAAAGUAUGACAGGAAGUCUACAUUGCCGCAAACCGAGAUACGUGGUCUAGUAGUUU